UAGUAAAUUUCAAUAUGAAUUUGAAAUUGAAAAUUAGAGAUCUACCUCUAAAACUAUAUUAAUUUAAAUUCAACAGUAAAUAGUACCGCGAGGGAAAGGUGAAAAGAUUUUUAAAUAUUUUAAAAGAAUCUGAAAUUUAAUGCGUAAUACAGUUAAUAUAUAAUGUAUUAACGUACCUUUUGCAUAAUGGACUAGCGAGUUUAUAUAUUUAGCGAGUAAUUUAUUUUUAUAAAAUUACGUAUUGAAAAAAUUUUAGUUAAAUAUAUAAGACCCGAAGCUAAGUGAUCUAACUAUGAUCAGAUUAAUGGUUUUAUACUUGAGGAUCGAACCCAUAAAUGUUGCAAAAUUUUGGGAUGAAUUGUAGUUAGGGGUGAAAGGCUUAUCAAACUUAGUUAUAGCUGGUUUUCUACGAAACCUAUUUAAGUAGGGUAAUAUAAUAAUAAAAUAUAGGUUUAAAUAACUAUAUUAAAAAUUAAUAUAUUAAUUUUAAAACUAGUAUAUACUAAUUAUAUUUUAUUAUAAUAUUAACCAGACUAUUAGCGCUAAGGUUUUUAGUCGAGAGGGAAACAGCCCAGAUUAAACGAUAAGGUCUAUAAUAAUAAAUAAUUAUGAAGAUUAAAUUAAUAUUAAUCUAAUAAGAUGUAGGCUUGGAAGCAGCCAUCAUUUUAAAAAAGCGUAAAAGCUUAAUAUUAGAUAUAUUAUAAUAAUAAAAUAAUAAAUAUUAAUUUUUUCAAAAAUUUAAAGAAUAAUUUUUAUUAACCGAAUCGAUAAACCUAAGGUGGUAGUAGAAUGUUUUGUAUAAUUUAAAUAAAAUUGUAAAAUUUUAUUAUUUAUCAAAAAUAAAAAUGCUAGUAUGAGUAGUAGACAUAGUGUGUGAAUCACUAUCGCCUAAUGUACAAGGGUUACUAAAUUUGAUAAUCUUAUUUAGUGUAAUACGAUUUCUACAAUUAAAGUGUAUAAUUUAAUUAAUGAAUAAUUUAUUUAAAAUUUUUUAAAUUAUUCUUUUAAAUAUAUUAAAUUUUUUAUAUUUAUUGUAUAAAUAAUUAAAACUGGAAAUGUUUAAAUAAAAUAAAUCGUACUAACUCUAACACAAGUGUACAAAUUGAAUAUAUAAUGGCGAAGGAGUUAAAAAUAUUGAAGGAACUCGGCAAAAUUACCUCGUAACUUCGGGAGAAGAGGGACUAUAUGUAUCUAAAAAGAGAGAGCAGCGACUGUUUAAUAAAAACAUAAGAUUUUGCUAAAUUUAAAUAUGAAGUAUAAAAUCUGACACCUGCCCGGUGCUGCAAGGUAAAAAUUUUUUGGUUAACGCUAGAAUAUUAAACCCCAGUAAACGGCGGCCGUAACCCUGACGGUCCUAAGGUAGCAAAAUUCCUUGGCGGGUAAGUUCCGUCCUGCAUGAAUGGUGUAACGACUGCUCUGCUGUCUCCAAUAUUUGCUCUACGAAAUUGAAUUUUCCGUGAAGAUGCGACAAUAUUACAACUAGACGGGAAGACCCUAUGCACCUUUACUAUUAUCUAUAAUUAAUUUUUUAAUAUAUUUAACUAGAUAAGUAGGAGGUUUAAACUAAAAAUGGAAAACUACUUGAAUAUAUUUUAAAAUUAAAAAUAAAAUUAAUAUUAUUUAUUAUAGAGAGAUAGUUUGACUGGGGCGGUCUCCUCCUAAAAAGUAACGGAGGAGUAUAAAGACUUAGGUGUAUUUUAUUUAAAUUAAAAUCAAUAUUAAAAUGAAUUUACUAAGUUUGAUUAGAGUACUUACAAGUAUUCUAAGGAUAAAAUGUCUAUCAUAUUGACCCGAUAUACUUUUGUAGAAAAAAUAUCGAUCAACGAAUAAAAGGUACGCUAGGGAUAACAGGCUUAUGAGUUUUGAGAGUUCUUAUUAAUAAACUCGUUUGGCACCUCGAUGUCGGCUCAUCACAUCCUGAUGGUGAACAAUCUAUCAAGGGUCCGGCUGUUCGCCGGUUAAAGUGGUACGUGAGCUGGGUUUAAAACGUCGUGAGACAGUUUGGUCCCUAUCUGUUGUAAUAAAAAGAAAAAAUAUAAUUAUUAACUUUAGUACGAGAGGACUAGGAAAAUUUAAUCACUGGUUAAAAAAUUAUCUUAAUAAAUAAAGGUACAGUUUUUAUGCUACAUUAAAAAAAAUAAUAGCUGAAACAUAUAUAAGCUAGAAUUUUUAUUAUAAUUUUUUCUAAUAAACUUUUUGAUGACAACAAAAUUUAUAUUUUAUAAACAGACGAAGUUGUAAGAGAUGAUUGUUUUAAAAUAUAAAGUUUAAUAUAACUAUAGUUUAGUUUUUUUA
Molecule: ribosomal RNA, 2295 nt
Filed under: Tetrahymena paravorax
Lineage: Eukaryota; Ciliophora; Oligohymenophorea; Hymenostomatida; Tetrahymenidae
Description: large subunit ribosomal RNA
Rfam family: Bacterial large subunit ribosomal RNA
Source: RNAcentral